Molecule: ribosomal RNA, 484 nt
Filed under: uncultured bacterium
Lineage: Bacteria
Description: partial 16S ribosomal RNA
Rfam family: Bacterial small subunit ribosomal RNA
Source: RNAcentral
AUUGAACGCUGGCGGCAGGCCUAACACAUGCAAGUCGAGCGGAUGAAGGGAGCUCGCUCUUGGAUUCAGCGGCGGACGGGUGAGUAAUGCCUAGGAAUCUGCCCGGUAGUGGGGGAUAACGUCCGGAAACGGGCGCUAAUACCGCAUACGUCCUGAGGGAGAAAGUGGGGGAUCUUCGGACCUCACGCUAUUAGAUGAGCCUAGGUCGGAUUAGCUAGUUGGUGGGGUAAAGGCCUACCAAGGCGACGAUCCGUAACUGGUCUGAGAGGAUGAUCAGUCACACUGGAACUGAGACACGGUCCAGACUCCUACGGGAGGCAGCAGUGGGGAAUAUUGGACAAUGGGCGAAAGCCUGAUCCAGCCAUGCCGCGUGUGUGAUGAAGGUCUUCGGAUUGUAAAGCACUUUAAGUUGGGAGGAAGAGCAGUAAGUUAAUACCUUGCUGUUUUGACGUUACCAACAGAAUAAGCACCGGCUAACUUCGUG